Molecule: transfer RNA, 106 nt
Filed under: Nanobdellota archaeon
Lineage: Archaea; Nanobdellati; Nanobdellota
Description: tRNA-Lys
Rfam family: tRNA
About the family: Transfer RNA (tRNA) molecules are approximately 80 nucleotides in length. Their secondary structure includes four short double-helical elements and three loops (D, anti-codon, and T loops).
Source: RNAcentral
GGGUCCGUAGCUCAGCCUGGAGGUGCUUUCUGAAAAGAAGCAUGCAGGCAAUAGUAGCGAUUCGCUCUUAACGAAUAGGUCGAGGGUUCGAAUCCCUUCGGACCCG